This 58-nucleotide microRNA precursor is filed under the name Euprymna scolopes. RNAcentral describes it as "Esc-Mir-12505_pre stem-loop". Lineage: Eukaryota; Metazoa; Mollusca; Cephalopoda; Sepiida; Sepiolidae. The record is from RNAcentral.
CCGGGGCCCCUUAAGCUCCGUGUUUUGUCGAUCGUGCGGAACAUAAGGGCCCCUGGGA